Molecule: microRNA precursor, 90 nt
Filed under: Tupaia belangeri (northern tree shrew)
Lineage: Eukaryota; Metazoa; Chordata; Mammalia; Scandentia; Tupaiidae
Description: miRNA (ENSTBEG00000020052.1)
Source: RNAcentral
GUUUAAAAUGCAGAUUCUGAGACAUCACCCCAGACCUCCUGAAGCAGAAUCUCUGUGGAUAGAGUCCAGGAAUCUGCAUUUAAACACGUA